UACGGGAGGCAGCAGUGGGGAAUUUUGGACAAUGGGCGCAAGCCUGAUCCAGCCAUGCCGCGUGCGGGAAGAAGGCCUUCGGGUUGUAAACCGCUUUUGUCAGGGAAGAAAUCCUCUGGGUUAAUACCUCGGGGGGAUGACGGUACCUGAAGAAUAAGCACCGGCUAACUACGUGCCAGCAGCCGCGGUAAUA
RNAcentral lists this ribosomal RNA (193 nucleotides) under uncultured bacterium. RNAcentral's name for it is "partial 16S ribosomal RNA". It matches the Rfam family "Bacterial small subunit ribosomal RNA", at positions 340 to 525 of the family's 1533-position model. The record is from RNAcentral.